UACGAAGGGUGCAAACGUUGCUCGGAAUUAUUGGGCGUAAAGCGCACGUAGGCGGCUUUGCAAGUCGGAUGUGAAAUCCCUCGGCUUAACCAAGGAAGUGCAUCCGAAACUGGCGAGCUUGAGUACGAAAGAGGAUCGCGGAAUUCCCGGUGUAGAGGUGAAAAUUCGUAGAUAUUCGGAGGAACACCAGUGGCGAAGGCGACUCACUGGCUCGGUACUGACGCUGAGGUGCGAAAGCGUGGGGAGCAAACAGG
This 254-nucleotide ribosomal RNA is filed under the name uncultured bacterium. Its description in RNAcentral is "partial 16S ribosomal RNA". It matches the Rfam family "Bacterial small subunit ribosomal RNA", at positions 524 to 776 of the family's 1533-position model. The record is from RNAcentral.